UGUGGCCCUGGGGUAGUCUCCUGGGGCAACGGCACCCCGGGACCUGUGCUUUGCGGCAAAAGCCAGGCUCUGUCGUAGCGGCCAGGCGAGGCGAGAAGAGGCCGACGCAUCUCCUCAGGUGACUUCAGAGUGAGCAUCUGGUUUCGCGGGGAAGUUCGGGAAAGAGGCGCCAUCCCCGCAGCUCAGUUUCCCCAGUUGAAGCGUGCCAGAGCGUGAUCCCGUAAGGCUUACUCCUAAAGGCGAGGAAACUGAGUGGCAACAAAUGACUUCCACAAGAAGGCCCAUUGGCCCUCGUCAUGGUGUAUUUGACUUCAGUGAUACGUCCUUAGAGGACUCAAGGAUGGAAGAGAUAAGAAACAUCCAGGCCCGAAGUCUCGGCCAAGUGACACUGGGGCAGAACAGAAUCCUAAAGAGAAACCAAACGAUGGAUGAAAAAUAUCUGAUAUCCAAAGAGGAGGCUAUGGCAGGGAGGGGGCCAAGGUUGGACUUGAGGCCCCCCACUAUCUCCUCCAAGACCAGAGCCAACGAGGCCCUCAGGAAGCUGGCUCAGAUUGAAACCAAGAUCCGGAGUCGGAAGCAGGCACUCACGGCUUUGUCUGACACGGAGUCUGACUCAAAGACCGGCGAGCAGCGACGUCAGAAGGGGACAGAUGCAGCGUCUGAUGUUCCUUCUCAGCAUCCAUACAGAACUUUCCAGAAACAAGCCUGUAAAAGCCCCAUGGCAAAGAGCGAUGGGCAAAGAGAGCAAGGUAGCAGGUUUUUGAAGAGAAGAGAGCCACCCACUGAAGUUAGGUCCCCAGAGCCCGCGGUGGAGAAAGGGAAGAGUGUCCCACCACACAGACAGAAAGAACCUGCUGGAAAAUGUGAUGGUCCCGACAGUGACGAAGAGGAAAUGAAAAUAUUGCUCAGAAGCUUAACGGAGUCUUCUAGAGAGAAAGAAACAAAUAUGAACCAGGUGCUCACUAGCACCAAAGUCAGCAGGAGCGAUCCUGGAAAGUUGACUUCGCAGGACCCACCUCCAGCUCAGCCAGGAGUCUUGUCUCUGCUCUCUGUGGACCCGACCAGCUCAAAGCCUUCUCAUCCCUCACCUUGGCUAGACGCCCCCUGGACUCUCAAUGCUGAGGACACAGCCUCCCUCACAUCCUCACCUUCCAUCACAAAUGACCUUUCAAUGUCAGCAUCUUCAAAGAUGGGGUGCAUCAAGCUGGCUUCCUCCCCCAGCAGGAGUGAGGUGGGGUCUUCAGAGGAGCCAAUCUCAGAAGCUGCUGAUGACAGUCUCCAUGAUUUUAGAAUUAAUAUUUUGUCCAUUGAGGAUCUGGUUCUGGCUGAUGGAGAGAAAAUAGAUGUGGAACAGAAAGGGGAAGAUUCUGGAAGGGAAGGGAUGUCAGGUAGAAGCUCUCCACCCAUGUCACCCGCUUGGCUGGAAGAGCAGAGGGCUACCCAGCACAAGAGCGCUGCAUUUCAGGGUGCGGCCAUUGUGGUUGCUGAGGAAGAGGGCCUUGCCACUGAAGUGUCGGAGCACCUGGGUGACAGUUCUGCCGAAGCUGUCCAGUCCCAAAGUGUGUCCAGCGUGCCGUCUGCGGAGACUCACACUGCACUUGAGGCCAGUCUGGCUUACUCUGAGGAUUUUGAGCAGUACUCUGGCCCCUUGACCUCAGAAGCGUCACUUGAGAGGACACUGGACACUUCAUCGCAGCUGUUGUCCAGUGGGCAGAUAGAUCAUCUUCCCAGACUGUCCCCAAAGAAAAAGUGGGGUCAAGGUGUGGCUGGAGUCAUGAAGGAGACAGCCGUGCAGACUCUUGACCCUGCCUUUGCUGGCCAGUGGAGCAAGGCUGGUGGCAUGGCGGCCAUUGGCCCCACCCUUGGAGGCGCCUACGUGGACCCAGUACCCAUCGCCAGUCACAUUGUCAGCGCGGACGCUAUAGAAGGUAACAGACAGCUGGGACCUCAUUCCUUCCCCACAGUGUCCAGCCAUUCCUGCAGCACAGGGCAGUACUUGCUAAAGGUGACUUUCUGGGGUCCCUGGGGGAGGGGGUUGCAGCAGCUGACAGGGUGGUGUUGAAUAGCCUAAGGGUGGCUAGAACCUCUUUCUGUCUUUGGUGAAGGGACACCUAGGUUUAACCAAACCCAGGAGUCUAGGAGUCAUGGGCUGGUGGUCAGCUAUCAGAAAAACCUUGAGUCUGUUCCAGCCUUGCCAUGCAGUCACUAUUGGGUCAUUUUGCCUAUCUCCAGUUUUAGUUCUUUUUUAAAGUCCCUACUUUGGCAUUCCUAAGCCUGUAAUCAAAUCUACUUAGGCAACGGAGGCAGGAAAAUCACUUGAAUGCAGGAGUUUAUAGUGAAGCCUCUCUCUUCUCCCACCCACCCCCUUCCGAGACAGGGUCUCACUGUGUAGCCCAGGCUGUUCUGGAACUCACUUUGUAGACCAGGCUGGCCUCGAACUUACUGAGAUCCGCCUGCCUCUGCCUCCUGAGUGCUGGAAUUAAAGAUAAGUACCAUUAACACCCAGUGAAACCUCGUCUCUUAAAACAACAACAAAAAGACCAACAUUUUGUCUUUGGGGGUGGACUGGGGGUAGGGUUGGGAGGCUUUCCGUGCAUACAUAGCCCAAGCUGGCUUGGAGCGUCAGAUCCUAACGCCUCAUAUGCCUCUGCUGGAAUGACAGACAUGUGACACCAUGCCCAGCUAAAGAUUUUUCUUGACCUUUAGUGGAGCUCAUGUAUGUUAUGUUGGUUAAUAUAGAACAGAGACUCAGGAAGAACUUCAUGGCUGUGAGGGCAGACUGGCCAGAAAACAGAAGCCCUGACAGCCUACAGCCCUGCAGUGCUGGUGCUGAAUGACAUGCUGAAGCAGCAGCUGAGCCUGACGCAGCAGUUCAUCGAGGCCAGUCGCCA
Non-coding RNA from Myodes glareolus (Bank vole), 2891 nucleotides. The record is from RefSeq and is a predicted model, not a curated record. NCBI's taxonomy places the organism in Eukaryota, Metazoa, Chordata, Mammalia, Rodentia, Cricetidae.